CCCUUAGAUGUUCUGGGCUGCACACGUGCUACACUGGCAGGUUCAGCGAGCUUCAUGCCCUGAUCUGAAAGGAAUGGGAGAUCUUUUCAAAACCUGCCGUGCUUGGGAUAGAUGUUUGCAAUUAUUCAUCUUCAACGAGGAUUGCCUUGUAAGCGCACGUCAUCAGCGUGCAUUGAAUACGACCCUGUAUUCUGUACACACCGCCCGUCGCUCCUACCGAUUGAAGUUUUCGGUGAGUUGACAGGAGGAUUUUUUUGAAACUGGUUCGCCAGUGGAUUUUAGAUCCAAAUGCCAACGAAUCGAUGGCUUUAGAGGAAGGAGAAGUCGUAACA
RNAcentral lists this ribosomal RNA (332 nucleotides) under uncultured eukaryote. Its description in RNAcentral is "partial 18S ribosomal RNA". It matches the Rfam family "Eukaryotic small subunit ribosomal RNA", at positions 1470 to 1796 of the family's 1831-position model. The record is from RNAcentral.